Molecule: long non-coding RNA, 612 nt
Organism: Mercenaria mercenaria
Lineage: Eukaryota; Metazoa; Mollusca; Bivalvia; Venerida; Veneridae
Exons: 4
Source: RefSeq, a predicted model, not a curated record
CAGAGCAUGUACAUCAGGAUGUUUGUGUAAAGUUACGGUAUAAAAGCGGUUUCAGCCCCGCCGAACACUUGUAUCACUGCAUCGGCGGACAAUACUAUACGCACUGCAUUGGUGGACACAAGACGCACUCUGUCGGCAGACAAUACAAGGCAUACUGCAUCAGAAGACAAUACAAGGCACACUGCAUCGGAGGACAAUACAAGACAAAUAUGAGGUUAAUCGUACUGGCUAUUUGUGUUGCAGUCUGUGUUUCGUUAGCUGGUGCACAGGCUGGAUGUCGUGCAAAUGAAAACGGUGUCCCUUGCAGCUGUGGUGGGUCACAGAAAGGUGUUUGUUUAAUCGGGCAAUGUAUAUGUCCGAAUGUUAGAAGGAAACGGUCGUCAUGUUCAAGUCACAGCGAUUGUCGCUGGUGUCAAGGGUACUGUCAGGGCGGGUCUUGUGUUUGUCCAGCCUAGAGGAUUCAGUUGUACAGUAACAAUAAUGAGACGAGUUUUGCAGCAUAAUAUCAAUAAAAAACUGGACGAACGAAAUAAAAUGAUAUGGAUACUAAAUAAUUAGUUUUUGAAACACCAAUACACCUGCUUUUGAAAAUAAACUUAUUUUCCCCCUGUA